This 426-nucleotide ribosomal RNA is filed under the name uncultured bacterium. RNAcentral's name for it is "bacterial SSU rRNA". It matches the Rfam family "Bacterial small subunit ribosomal RNA", at positions 354 to 796 of the family's 1533-position model. The record is from RNAcentral.
GUGAGGAAUUUUCCGCAAUGGGCGAAAGCCUGACGGAGCAAUGCCGCGUGAAGGAUGAAGGCCUAUGGGUUGUAAACUUCUUUUCUCAGAAAAGAAUUAUGACGGUAUCUGAGGAAUAAGCAUCGGCUAACUCUGUGCCAGCAGCCGCGGUAAGACAGAGGAUGCAAGCGUUAUCCGGAAUGAUUGGGCGUAAAGCGUCUGUAGGUUGUUUAAAAAGUAUUCUGUCAAAGAUUAGGGCUUAACCCUAGAUAGGCAGAAUAAACUUUUAAGCUAGAGUGUGGUAGAGGCAGAGGGAAUGCCCGGUGGAGCGGUGAAAUGCGUAGAUAUCGGGAGGAACACCAAAGGCGAAGGCACUCUGCUGGGCCAAUACUAACACUGAGAGACGAAAGCGAGGGGAGCAAAUGGGAUUAGAUACCCGUGUAGUCC